AAUGAACGUUGCCGGCAUGGAUUAGGCAUGCAAGUCGGGGGAAUCCCAGCAAUGGGGGAACCGGCGUAAGGGGCAGUAAGGCAUGGGUACCUACCGUGGGGUUCGGGAUAGCCAUCAAAGAUGGUGGGUAAUACCGGAUGACGCCGUGAGACCAAAGAUUUAUCGCCCUUAGAGGGGCCCAUGUGAUAUUAGCUAGUUGGUGGGGUAACGGCCCACCAAGGCGAAGAUGUCUAGCGGGUGUGAGAGCACGACCCGCGCCACUCGCACUGAGACACUGGCGAGACACCUACGGGUGGCUGCAGUCGAGGAUCUUCGGCAAUGAGCGCAAGCUUGACCGAGCGAUGCCGCGUGAGCGAUGAAGGCCUUCGGGUUGUAAAGCUCUUUAGUGGGGGAGAAAAGCCGCAAGGUGUGAUCUAUCCCAAAAAUAAGCACGGGCUAAGUUCGUGCCAGCAGCCGCCGUAA
RNAcentral lists this ribosomal RNA (462 nucleotides) under uncultured bacterium. Its description in RNAcentral is "partial 16S ribosomal RNA". It matches the Rfam family "Bacterial small subunit ribosomal RNA", at positions 29 to 523 of the family's 1533-position model. The record is from RNAcentral.